Molecule: microRNA, 21 nt
Filed under: Solanum lycopersicum (tomato)
Lineage: Eukaryota; Viridiplantae; Streptophyta; Magnoliopsida; Solanales; Solanaceae
Description: sly-miR9471a-3p
Source: miRBase by way of RNAcentral
UUGGCUGAGUGAGCAUCACGG